This 87-nucleotide transfer RNA is filed under the name Pseudomonadales bacterium. RNAcentral describes it as "tRNA-Leu". It matches the Rfam family "tRNA". From Rfam's summary of the family: Transfer RNA (tRNA) molecules are approximately 80 nucleotides in length. The record is from RNAcentral. RNAcentral also lists the same sequence under 1 other name. Lineage: Bacteria; Pseudomonadati; Pseudomonadota; Gammaproteobacteria; Pseudomonadales.
GCCCGGGUGGUGAAAUUGGUAGACACGCGAGACUUAAAAUCUCGUUCCCACUAGGGAGUGCCGGUUCGACCCCGGCCCCGGGCACCA